Molecule: small nuclear RNA, 103 nt
Filed under: Catagonus wagneri (Chacoan peccary)
Lineage: Eukaryota; Metazoa; Chordata; Mammalia; Artiodactyla; Tayassuidae
Source: RNAcentral
AUGCUUCAGCAGCACAUACACUAAAAUUGCAAAGAUACAGGGAAGAUUAGCACGGGCCCUGUGCAAUGAUGACACUAAAAUCUGUGAGGCAUUCCAUAUCUUU